Molecule: ribosomal RNA, 553 nt
Filed under: uncultured archaeon
Lineage: Archaea
Description: bacterial SSU rRNA
Rfam family: Archaeal small subunit ribosomal RNA
Source: RNAcentral
CGGGGUGCACCAGGCGCGAAAACUUUACAAUGCCGGCAACGGCGAUAAGGGGACCUCGAGUGCCAGGUUACAAAUCUGGCUGUCGAGAUGCCUAAAAAGCAUUUCAUAGCAAGGGCCGGGCAAGACCGGUGCUAGCCGCCGCGGUAACACCGGCGGCUCGAGUGGUAACCGUUAUUAUUGGGUCUAAAGGGUCUGUAGCCGGCCGGAUAAGUCUCUUGGGAAAUCCAGCAGCUCAACUGUUGGGCUUUCAGGAGAUACUGUCUGGCUCGAGGCCGGGAGAGGUGAGAGGUACUUCAGGGGUAGGGGUGAAAUCUUGUAAUCCUUGAAGGACCACCAGUGGCGAAGGCGUCUCACCAGAACGGACCUGACGGCAAGGGACGAAAGCUAGGGGCACGAACCGGAUUAGAUACCCGGGUAGUCCUAGCCGUAAACGAUACUCGCUAGGUGUCGGCCACGGUGCGACCGUUGUCGGUGCCGUAGGGAAGCCGUGAAGCGAGCCACCUGGGAAGUACGGCCGCAAGGCUGAAACUUAAAGGAAUUGGCGGGGGAGCAC